UUUUAUGAUCAUCACAUAAUUGUCCCACCUCUGAAAACCACUCUUUAGGCUCUGUCUUUGUGUGAUCCUUUUUGUGGUGCUGGCUUUGCCCCAUUGAGGUUUCUGGGGGCUGCCUUUUCCAGACUCCCUUUUCUAUCACUUUUAUGUCCUCUCUAGGCAAUCUCUUCUCUCAUUGUAGCUUUACCUAACAUCUCCCUGGAUGACUGUAUAAAACUACUUUCUUUAGUUCCGUUCUAGAAUUUCAGAUUCAAAUUUUUUCUUAUAUAUUUUUUAUACCUUUACUUUAUUUAUUUUUAUGUGGUGCGGAGGAUUGAACCCAGGGCCUCGCACAUGCUGGGCAAGCACUCUACCGCUGAGCCUCAACCUCAGCCCCAUCAGAUUCAAAUUUUUAACUUCCUCCAAACUCCCCAGUCCAGAAGUGCAGACUGCAGGGCUUAAGACGAGUCCAGCUUUGAGUAUUGGCUCUGUGACAUUGACCCCAUCCAUCCUAGAGUCUUGCUGAGCCUCAGGUCCUCAACUGGGGAAUAUGAGAAUACCCACCUUAACAGGUUGCUGGGAAUGUCAUUCUUUUUCUUUUAGUUGUAACCUUCUCCAUUGUUCCCAUUUCUGUAAUGGCAACACAAUCUUCCACAAUCUUCCUGGCCUGACACAACAGAACUGUCCUCCCCAUGCCUGUCACAUUUCUUUUCCCUCCACUCUUCUCUCCUUAGUCAUUUCCCUUGGCAUAGACCUUAUUCCUUCUUGUCAGAGUGAUCUGAGAUUUCCUAGACUGCUUCUAGUGCCUCUCCUGAGGCCUCCUGUUUAGAUUUACCUUCCUAAUGCAGGGCUGUCUACAUUUCUCCCUGUACUAGUUAACCACCACUGUGUAACAGAUAUCCCAAACUUGGCAGCUUGUAGCUACCUCAUGUGGUUUCUGGGUUCAGGAUUCCCACAGCUGAGGUCUCAUGAGGUUGCAGUUGAGGUGUUGACCCUGGAUGCUGUCAUGUGAAGGCUUGAUAGCCUACAUAUCUGCUUUCAAAGGAGUUCACUCCUAUGGCUGUUGACAAGAGGCCUGACCUCAUUUGCUGAUUAUAUGGUCCAUUCUCUGUAGGGCCUCUGAGUCCCUGACAUGGCACCUGGUUUUCCCUAGAGAGAGGGAUCUAAAGGCAGAAGCUACAGUAUGUCUUCUAUGACACAUUCCAAGACCCAGUCUCAGAAAUCACCCUCUUGCUCUCUAUAAUAGCCUAGUGGUCACAUAGGUCACUGGUAUUCCAUGUGGGUAUGAAUACAAGGUGAGAAUCAUGAGCUAUGUGGAGUCCAGACACUAAAUUCCUCUUCCUUACUAUCUCUUGAGUUUCUUCACAUUGAGUACAGAAUGAAACCACUUAGCUCUACAGUCUGACCCCGGCCCACUUCACCCUGCCCUGCCCAACAGGGAGGUCCACCUCAAUUUCCUACUGAUUCCAUUUGGUUCUGUUUUUGCUUCUCCAACUGCCCUGGCUGGAGUGUUUUCCCUUGUUUCUGGGAACAGAAACAAAUCCCACCUGCUCUUCAAGGGCCAACCUUUUCAGCACUUCUUUUGUUUAUUGGUGCUGUGGUUGAAACCUAGGGCCUUGUGCAUGCUAAGCAAGUGCUCUGCCACUGAGCUACACCCCCAGCCCUUUGAAAUUUAAAGUCCUUUAAUCAUAGUUACUAUUUUCUGUUAUGUAUCACUGUACUUACUACUUUUCAAUGCAUGCAUACAUAUGAUGUAUGUGUCAUUGUAAUUGGCUUAUUCGCCCUCAGCUUCUCUGCCUGGUUAAAUUAUUCAGGAGCUGAGAUGUAACCAGAACUUCACAUACCUGGCCUCAGGCCCGGUAGGUGCUCAGUCAAGAUUCACAAUCUGCAUGAUGCCAGCAGCUGUUUACUCUCCACUGUGUGCCCACUCCCAGCUAUAGCUGAGCACUCUAGAGGGAUAUUAAAAAGUAUUGAACAUAGUCAGUGUAGGCAGUGCAGGAUUGUGUUCUCUGGUGGGCUCUUUUGAGAGAAGCUCAGAGCAGUGUGUACUGAGUUGGUUUGGGAAGGUGGGGCCUGCAAUUACCUUGAGACAGGAGCAGUAGGAUAGAGUGUCCUGACACAGCAGCGGGAGGCUCCCAACCAGAGCUCCUGGAUAUACAUGUGCUCUGGGAGCCAGGGGAGGUGUCCUUGAUACCACCAUAUGGGGCUGUUAGGAACUCUUCCAAAUCCUUUAUAUAUUUUUUAAAUUUAUUGUUGUUAAUUCCUGAAGCUAUGUAUGCUUCUUAUGACAAGUGAAAUAAUUCAGUAUAUGAUAAAAAGUUAAUUGUCCCCUUCCACCCUAUUCAAAUUCUCCUCUUCCUACCACUCUUGUUAAUUAUGG
RNAcentral lists this long non-coding RNA (2356 nucleotides) under Marmota monax (woodchuck). Lineage: Eukaryota; Metazoa; Chordata; Mammalia; Rodentia; Sciuridae. The record is from RNAcentral.